Molecule: long non-coding RNA, 1492 nt
Filed under: Fukomys damarensis (Damara mole-rat)
Lineage: Eukaryota; Metazoa; Chordata; Mammalia; Rodentia; Bathyergidae
Description: lncRNA (ENSFDAG00000031829.1)
Source: RNAcentral
AUGCCCGGGCCUUGGACCAUGCAGGCGCAGAAGGAUCCCUGGAGGCGGGCAGCAGUCACAGAGAGUGACAAGGACAGAAAUGCUGUUCUGACUGAACCGGGGUCAGCACCCUGGCUGUCCCGAGAUUUGCCACAUGUUAUGAAGAGACUGGACUUGAGCAGGGAGAGAAGGAAAACUAAAUCCACAAAUGGGACCGAGCAGGCCAGGGAAAAGCUACUACUUCCAGUAACCAGCCCAGAAAGCCCACCCCCAGUGUGUACUGACCCUCCCAGAACACAGCCUACGGGGGGCACCACCGGCACAGGGAGCAGUCCCUCAUCUAGAGCCAGACCGGUCCAACCUGCCUCUCGGAGGCUGCAUCAGCCCGGAGCAGCUGGUAAUGUGGCCCCACAAGAUCACAAGCUUACUCUUAUUAUGUGACUUUUAGCAACAGUUUUCACGACUGCACAGUGCUGGAGCACAGACUGUGCAGGUGGCGGUGGGGAGGGGAGCAGUUCCCUCUCCAGGGCCCACCACACACAACGCCUCUCCACUCAGGGCGGCCCAGGCGAGCCAAGAGGUUGGACGUCCAGGAAAUGGCCUGCUGUCUACAGGAACCAGCCCAUUUAUGCUAACCAGGCCCAGCACCAGCACUGUCUACACUGCACAGCCUAAAAAACCAACCCUCUCUCUGUGCUAACCAGCCUAGGAAGCCAGCCUGUUAGCAGUAGCAGCCAGGGGCCCCUCAUCUGCACUGACCAGCCUGGGAGUCAGCUUGCUGUCUCUGAGUCACACGGAAGUGAGACCACCUGUCCAGCGACAGUCCAGGAGCAAAGCAGCAAAGUGAGGCCAGGACCUGGCGCCACCAGACUGCCCCUAUUCUUUGCCUCUUCCUUCACAGGACCAGCCUCGGAUCUUCCCUGCCACACCCUGACGUCGAAGGCAGAGCUGGGGGCCAACUCUCCCUCGGGAGGCACUGGGUGAGCUGCUGUAGCCUGCUCUCGUGCUGGUCUGUGUGUGUCUCCACGAGCUGAGCUGCUGGGGGCAGCUGGGUAGAGGCACACACACCUUGUCUCAUGUUCUGUGUGUGAAUCUACAGUUAUCUUAAAACAGAAAGCUGAGCUGGAAAAAAAAUCCCAGAGCUGUGAUGCUCAUGUCUAGCGGAGCAGACAAAGAACGAGCACAGUCAAUAGGUAAAUUGUGUUAGAUGGAAGAUGACGGGAUGCUGGUGAAAUCAGAGUGGGUGUCCCGUGAUGGGUUACUUCAGAGCAUUAAGAUGUUAUGGAAAAAGAUCUAUGACACUUGAGCUUUUCAUGGUAUCUGGUGAAAUGGAAAGUAAUCAGGUUUCUGAACUGUGUUCAGUAUGAGUCCAGCCUUUAAAAUAAAAAUGCAUUUAUGCAAAGAAUAAAGGCCAGAAAGAUAAAUGCCAAUGAAAUCAACAACCUCAGAGGGCUAUGAUGAGACAUGAAAGUUGUUUGAUUUUCUUUCUGAAUUUCUGUUUCUCCCAAGUUUU